UGGUUCCUGCUGUUGGAGGUUUGGCGACAAAGUGACAGCUGGCCGGUUUGGCUCCUCCCCUCAGUCCCCGGCGCUCUGGCUCUCCCUGUUUUUCCUCUCCUAGGAACCACCUCCUCCUCACGGCAGCAGCGAGGGGUCCUGUGUUAUCUUAAAUUUGGGAUGCAUAUAUCAUCAGAUACACCUUUUUCAGUGGACAUACUUUUUUGAAGAAAAGUGAAAGAUUACCAUAUGAAAUUUUACAUAGAGUCAGGGUUCACACUAGGAGAAGGAGCCUAUUGAUGGUCAGCGUAGCACCAGAGUUUUUCAAGAAGAUGUGGACAUUAUUUCAAUGAGAAUUUUAAAAACAUCUUCAAUCUACACAUGUAAGUACAUUUUAAGAUAUGUAUGCAAUCAUGUAUACAUUUAAAAAUUACACAUCUGAUAUAUCCUCAUAAGACUUACAUUUUUUACUCCACUUUUUGUUUCAUACAAAACUGCCUUUGUUUUUGUGUUCUUUGUUUUUGACACACAUAAA
Panthera uncia (snow leopard) is the source of this 514-nucleotide long non-coding RNA. RefSeq lists it as uncharacterized. The record is from RefSeq and is a predicted model, not a curated record. NCBI's taxonomy places the organism in Eukaryota, Metazoa, Chordata, Mammalia, Carnivora, Felidae. The transcript is spliced from 4 exons.